AUGGGACGGCCCGCUGGGCUGUUCCCGCCCCUAUGCCCUUUUUUGGGUUUCCGGCCAGAGGCAUGCUGGGAGCGUCACAUGCAAAUUGAGCGUGCACCCAGCGUUCCGCCCUUUCUACGCUGGGCCGGUUAUCGACCCGGCCCAGUGCGCAGGCGCGGGAAAGUUGAACUAAUAAAGUUUGUACGAGUUCAGUGGAGGAGACCGCAAGUUGAGUGGAGGAGGCGGCGGUGGGGCCCCGGACCAGGUGCCUCCAUGGCAGGCUCUGAAGAGCUGGGGCUCCGGGAAGACACGCUGAGGGUCCUAGCUGCCUUCCUUAGGCGUGGUGAGGCUGCCGGGUCUCCUGUUCCAACUCCACCUAGGUAAGAGGAGUGGCCCUUCUCCCCCAGGGGCCAGCAUUUGAGGCUCCCUCCUAACUCUUGCUCCUGGUCUCAGUCUGUCUCCUCUCUUUAUAUCUGGCUCUAUUCUCUGUCUUUGGGGUUUUGGAGAGAGGUCCUCAGCGGGGGAGGGAGGGAGUUGGGGAAAGAGACUGCUUGCAGGGGAUCUCUGGUGGGGUCAGUCUCUGAAGUCCUCCUCUCCAGAAGCCCUGCCCAAGAAGAGCCAACAGACUUCCUGAGCCGCCUUCGAAGAUGUCUUCCCUGCUCCCUGGGGCGAGGAGCAGCCCCCUCUGAGUCCCCUCGGCCUUGCUCUCUGCCCAUCCGCCCCUGCUAUGGUUUAGAGCCUGGCCCAGCUACUCCAGACUUCUAUGCUUUGGUGGCCCAGCGGCUGGAACAGCUGGUCCAAGAGCAGCUGAAAUCUCCGCCCAGCCCAGGAGGGCAUCCUGGCUGUUUCACCCGUGGACUUGAACUUGCCAUUGGACUGAGCUCUUUCUCAGAAGCUGCUACAAGAUGACACCUCAUGUCCCUGCCCUCUUCGUGUGCUUUUCCAAGUCUUCCUAUUCCACUCAGGGCUGUGGGGUGGUGGUUGCCCUACCUGUUUUUGCCAAAAAUAAAUUGUUUAAAACUUUUCUUAUUAAAAACGUUACAAAGUA
This 1027-nucleotide unclassified non-coding RNA is filed under the name Homo sapiens (human). RNAcentral describes it as "BCL2-like 12 (proline rich), transcript variant 40". The record is from RNAcentral. Lineage: Eukaryota; Metazoa; Chordata; Mammalia; Primates; Hominidae.